CAGAACGAACGCUGGCGGCGCGUCUUAAGCAUGCAAGUCGAGCGGCGAGCAUCAGCAAUGGUGCCUAGAGCGGCGGACUGGUGAGUAACGCGUGGGUGAUCUACCCUUGGGUUGGGGAUAGCCGCUAGAAAUAGCGGGUAAUGCCGAAUACGGUUAUUUGGCUGCGGCCAGGUAAAGAAAGGAGCUUUGGCUCCGCCCGGGGAUGGGCCCGCGUCCCAUUAGGUAGUUGGUAGGGUAAAGGCCUACCAAGCCUGGGAUGGGUAGCCGGCCUGAGAGGGUGAACGGCCACACUGGGACUGAGAUACGGCCCAGACUCCUACGGGAGGCAGCAGCUAAGAAUAUUCCGCAAUGGGCGAAAGCCUGACGGAGCGACGCCGCGUGGAUGAAGAAGGCCGAAAGGUUGUAAAAUUCUUUUGCCGGUGAGGAAUAAGGCGGGGAGGGAAUGCCCUGUUGAUGACGCAAGCCGUG
Molecule: ribosomal RNA, 468 nt
Filed under: uncultured Treponema sp.
Lineage: Bacteria; Pseudomonadati; Spirochaetota; Spirochaetia; Treponematales; Treponemataceae
Description: bacterial SSU rRNA
Rfam family: Bacterial small subunit ribosomal RNA
Source: RNAcentral